RNAcentral lists this ribosomal RNA (496 nucleotides) under uncultured bacterium. Its description in RNAcentral is "partial 16S ribosomal RNA". It matches the Rfam family "Bacterial small subunit ribosomal RNA", at positions 29 to 507 of the family's 1533-position model. The record is from RNAcentral.
AUGAACGCUGGCGGCGUGCCUAAUACAUGCAAGUCGAGCGAACGGACGAGAAGCUUGCUUCUCUGAUGUUAGCGGCGGACGGGUGAGUAACACGUGGAUAACCUACCUAUAAGACUGGGAUAACUUCGGGAAACCGGAGCUAAUACCGGAGGAUAUUUUGAACCGCAUGGUUCAAAAGUGAAAGACGGUCUUGCUGUCACUUAUAGAUGGAUCCGCGCUGCAUUAGCUAGUUGGUAAGGUAACGGCUUACCAAGGCAACGAUGCAUAGCCGACCUGAGAGGGUGAUCGGCCACUCUGGAACUGAGACACGGUCCAGACUCCUACGGGAGGCAGCAGUAGGGAAUCUUCCGCAAUGGGCGAAAGCCUGACGGAGCAACGCCGCGUGAGUGAUGAAGGUCUUCGGAUCGUAAAACUCUGUUAUUAGGGAAGAACAUAUGUGUAAGUAACUGUGCACAUCUUGACGGUACCUAAUCAGAAAGCCACGGCUAACUACGUG